CCUACGGGCGGCAGCAGUGGGGGAUAUUGCACAAUGGGGGAAACCCUGAUGCAGCGACGCCGCGUGAAGGAAGAAGUAUUUCGGUAUGUACACUUCUAUCAGCAGGGAAGAAAAUGACGGUACCUGACUAAGAAGCCCCGGCUAACUACGUGCCAGCAGCCGCGGUAAUACGUAGGGGGCACGCGUUAUCCGGAUUUACUGGGUGUAAAGGGGGCGGAGGCGGGUUUGCAAGUCAGAAGUGAAAGCCCGGGGCUCAACGCCGGGACUGCUGUUGAAACUGUUGAACUAGAUUGCAGGAGAGGUAGGUGGAAUUCCUGGUGUAGCGGUGAAAUGCGUAGAUAUCAGGAGGAACACCGGUGGCGAAGGCGGCUUACUGGACUGUAACUGACGUUGAGGCUCGAAAGCGUGGGGAGCAAACAGGAUUAGAUACCCGGGUAGUC
Molecule: ribosomal RNA, 440 nt
Filed under: uncultured bacterium
Lineage: Bacteria
Description: partial 16S ribosomal RNA
Rfam family: Bacterial small subunit ribosomal RNA
Source: RNAcentral